This 377-nucleotide ribosomal RNA is filed under the name uncultured bacterium. RNAcentral's name for it is "bacterial SSU rRNA". It matches the Rfam family "Bacterial small subunit ribosomal RNA", at positions 523 to 898 of the family's 1533-position model. The record is from RNAcentral.
AAACAGGGGGCUCGAGCGUUAAUCGGAAUCACUGGGCUUAAAGGGUGCGUAGGCGGACCAGAGGGUGUAUCGUGAAAGCCCCCGGCUCAACCGGGGAACUGCGACGCAAACCGCUGGUCUUGAGGUGGGUAGGGGUCGCUGGAACGCUCGGUGGAGCGGUGAAAUGCGUAGAUAUCGAGCGGAACGCCGAAGGUGAAGACAGGCGACUGGGCCCAUCCUGACGCUGAGGCACGAAAGCGUGGGGAUCAAACAGGAUUAGAUACCCUGGUAGUCCACGCCCUAAACGAUGCGCACUGGAUCGGUGCAGGUCUGACCCUGUAUCGGUCGGAGAGAAAUUGUUAAGUGCGCCGCCUGGGAAGUACGGUCGCAAGGCUAAA